GACGAACGCUGGCGGCGUGCCUAAUACAUGCAAGUUGAGCGAUGAAGAUUGGUGCUUGCACCAAUUUGAAGAGCAGCGAACGGGUGAGUGACGCGUGGGGAAUCUGCCUUUGAGCGGGGGACAACAUUUGGAAACGAAUGCUAAUACCGCAUAACAACUUUAAACAUAAGUUUUAAGUUUGAAAGAUGCAAUUGCAUCACUCAAAGAUGAUCCCGCGUUGUAUUAGCUAGUUGGUGAGGUAAAGGCUCACCAAGGCGAUGAUACAUAGCCGACCUGAGAGGGUGAUCGGCCACAUUGGGACUGAGACACGGCCCAAACUCCUACGGGAGGCAGCAGUAGGGAAUCUUCGGCAAUGGACGAAAGUCUGACCGAGCAACGCCGCGUGAGUGAAGAAGGUUUUCGGAUCGUAAAACUCGGUUGGUAGAGAAGAACGUUGGUGAGAGUGGAAAGCUCAUCAAGUGACGGUAACUACCCAGAAAGGGACGGCUAACUACGUG
This 497-nucleotide ribosomal RNA is filed under the name uncultured bacterium. RNAcentral's name for it is "partial 16S ribosomal RNA". It matches the Rfam family "Bacterial small subunit ribosomal RNA", at positions 28 to 507 of the family's 1533-position model. The record is from RNAcentral.